This 73-nucleotide transfer RNA is filed under the name Microcaldota archaeon. Its description in RNAcentral is "Candidatus Micrarchaeota archaeon (hot springs metagenome) tRNA-Val". It matches the Rfam family "tRNA". Rfam says of the family: Transfer RNA (tRNA) molecules are approximately 80 nucleotides in length. The record is from RNAcentral. Lineage: Archaea; Nanobdellati; Microcaldota.
GUCCCUGUAGUCGAAUGGUUAAGACGCCACUCUCACACAGUGGAGAUUCGGAGUUCGAUUCUCCGCGGGGCCA